UACAGAGACCUCAAGCGUUAUCCGGAAUCAUUGGGCGUAAAGCGUACCGAUAGGUGGUGUAUCAAGUCAGAAGUGAAAUUCCAAAGCUUAACUUUGGGACUGUCUUUUGAAACUGAUACACUAGAGGGGCAAAGAGGAAGCUGGAACAAACGGUGUAGUAGUGAAAUGCGUUGAUAUCGUUUGGAACACCAAUAGCGUAGGCAGGCUUCUGGGUGCCACCUGACACUGCUAGGACGAAAGCGUGGGGAGCGAAUGGG
This 257-nucleotide ribosomal RNA is filed under the name uncultured bacterium. Its description in RNAcentral is "partial 16S ribosomal RNA". It matches the Rfam family "Bacterial small subunit ribosomal RNA", at positions 524 to 776 of the family's 1533-position model. The record is from RNAcentral.